This 3530-nucleotide unclassified non-coding RNA is filed under the name Hevea brasiliensis (rubber tree). Lineage: Eukaryota; Viridiplantae; Streptophyta; Magnoliopsida; Malpighiales; Euphorbiaceae. The record is from RNAcentral.
GUUGUAUUCUUAUUUGAUGGUAAUCUGUCCUUUGGUCAAUCUUUGAAAAAUUAUUGAAUCAUUUAUCUCCACCAAUAGUGCCUCAAUCACAUGAGUUGUACAUUUGUCUUAAUGGUCUCUCAGUAUAACUCUAACUCCAUAGUCAAUACACAUCCUCCAACUAUUGUUUUUUUCUUGAAAAGAACAAUUGGGAAGAAAAUAAACUGACAUGAGGCUGUAUUACUCCAUUGUUAAGUAACUUCUUGAUAACUUUUGCUAUUACAUCUUUGUGCAGUGGUGAGUGUCUAUAAUGUCCCACAUGCUAGGCUUGGUGCCUUUGAGGGGUAUUCUGUGAUCAAGUGAUCCAUGAGGGGACAGUGAUUUUGGUUUCUCAAACAAGUCUAAAUUAUUCUGGUAAUUGGUUCUGGUCAGAACAUAUUACCUCAGAGGGGGAAAGGUUGCCAAUAUAAGAGGUUGUUGAUUGGCUUGAAACUUUCUGGUGAUAUCCAUGUAGGCACAGAAUAUUACUUGUGAGGACCUGUGCAGGCAUCAAGCUCGCACAGACGACAUACUUAUCCUGGAUUUUUGUUGGUCGCUGUAUCCAUUCUCUUAUAUUAUAUGCUUUGCUCUGAGGCACAAUUAUUUCCCUCAAGUAUUUGCCUUUCUCCAUUCUGCUUUUCUUCCAUCUUUAACAUUUUGAAGUUCCAAAAGACUGUCCAAUGUUAGUUAGUCGUUGUUUUCCGAACAAUGCUUCACACCUAGAGGCAUAACUAUAUAGUCAGCUCAGAAAUUAGAGCAAUGCAUCUGCCUACAGAAUUUCCUACUCCAAGUUGUGCACUUAAGCUUUUGACAAUUGUCAAAUGGCUACACAAUGACUGGAGUGAGAGAGCUCAAUUUACAUCCUGAGCUCUUUGCUAGUGCCAAAUCCAUGAAAUUAUGAGUGUUCCCAGAAUCAAUUAAGAUGUGGAGUUUCCUUCUUUCUUUUAAAGAAGCCUAUGACCCUCAGUAUCUGGUGCUCCUUUGGAUCUUGGAUUCCUUUGAGGAAAAUCUCCUGGUUGUUCUUCAGUCAAAUCUGUAGAUUCAAAUCCCAUUGUGCCUUCAUAGAGCUCUUGCACAAUAAUGGUGUGCACUUGCUUCUUUUAACACUGGUGUCUGGCACAAAUUUCUCAUCACAGCUGAGACAUAAGGCCAUAACUGAUACAGGUUGUUGAAAUCUUGUAGAUGAUGGGAAUUUAGCCACAUUUUAUGGGGUACAUAAUUUGGGGGCUGGGGUUUUCUUUUGUGCAGGUAAUGGGGGAGUUUUCCAAGGGUUUCUUGUGGAUAUGUUUAAACAGGUAAGAUUUUCUUUGUAAUCUAGCCAAGGUGUAAGCUUCUUGUGGUGACUUGGGAUUGAACAUCCUAAAGUAGUUGGAUUUCCUUCUUCAGGCCACUGAGGCUCUGCCUAUAGCUCAGAUAAGGUAACCUUGUGCGUUAAAAUAUCAAAUUUCUCUAGAUACUAUUGCAGUGAACCUUCUUUUUAAGGUUUUCCAGAUCUGCCAUGGGGUCCUCAAAUACUUGCUUUCUAAAUCUAAAUACUGACUGAACCGGUGUACUCUUCCCAAAUUAAAUAUUCCUUAUUGGUUCUAUUCUUCAUAUAGUCUUUAUGCCAUUGUGACGCCUUGCCCUCUAAUGAAUAGAUGCCAUAUGGAAGCUUAUCAUCGAACCUAGAAGAAUCUUUCAUACUUUAAAAACCCACCCUGUGAGAAUCUUUCACAUAGAAGUGAGGAAAUUCAAUUAUAGUGAAACGUGAAGGAAUCUGGCAGAUGCUAGCAACACUAGAACUUGCAGAACUAGAAUUAGAUGAGGUAUGGUUUUGGUAAUAAUAAAGGGCAGAUUGUCACCUGCAGACUGAUUUCGCAGAUUGGCAUGAAGAUCUUAAUUCAUUCAUAACUUGAUCUUGCUUUCUGCUAAGCUCUUGAAUUGAUUCUUCUGCAUGUUGUUAUUCUCUUGUAUCAUGCUUCAAACUACAUUCCUCUGUGACUGUCAGUCUUCAAUUUUCUUCAUCUUGGACUCAAUUUUUUUGAGUUCUGCAGGUCUGGUGUUGUCUGCUACAGACAUGGUAGGUUGGGGAUGAAUUUUUGCUGGAAUUGGAGUUAAUUGGGGGUUUUGGGAGCUAUGAAUCAGGUCCUUGAAGUGUUCUGAUACCAUAUGAUGCAAUUAGAAUUUAGAAUUCUGCUCGUAUCUGUUUGGUAGUUGGGAAUUGGCAAAGUGAAGGAAAACAAGGGAAAUUGGGAGAGAUGAGAGAUGAAAAUAGGGAACUGUUAUAUAUUAAAGUUCAAGUCAUCAAUACAACAUUGUUCUCAUCUACGUAAAACUGAUUGUUAACAAACUGAUUACUCGUUAAAAAACUAAAAACAAAUACAACACUUUUUUAACAAUCCACUGCAGAGGUGCGCCAUGUACUAGGUGCUGGCUUUACGUCCCACCAUUUUCUCCACAUAACAUCAUGUAGAUUAUGAUUGUAGAAGUUACAGCUGUGGUUUUCAAUGCAUUUGCAUAUCAAAACAAAUGAUUAUGAAUGGAUUAAUAAUGAUCUGAAAGGAUGAUCUUAUGGUUUUAUUUCAGGGAACCUCUUAUAACAAAUAUCAUGUGGAGGAACUUACUCAUACAGGCUUUGUAUCAAGUAGGUGUUCUCCUUGUUUUGAACUUCUGGGGCAGGAGCAUUCUCCAUUUGAAUGGUGAAGAAAGGGAACAUGCUACAGACGUAAAAAAUACUAUGAUAUUCAAUGCAUUUGUCCUCUGUCAAAUAUUCAAUGAGUUCAAUGCUCGAAAGCCAGAUGAAAUCAAUGUCUUUAGUGGAAUCACCAAAAACCGAUUAUUUAUGGGAAUAGUUGGAUUUACUUUUGUACUACAGAUAAUCCUCAUUGAAUUUGCUGGGAAAUUUAUGUCAACUGUGAGACUUAAUUGGAAAUUAUGGCUUGCAUCCAUGGCUAUUGCCUUUGUCAGCUGGCCUCUUGCCGCAGUCGGAAAACUUGUUCCAGUUCCCGAAACUCCAUUAUCUGUUUACUUGGUUAAGCCAUUUCGGCGAUGGAGAACUCGUCAGAACACAUAAAAUCCCUUUGUGUAUGGUUGCUUGCCUAUAUCUUUGAUUAUCUGACGAACACCGCAUAUUUAAAGGUGGACUGAUGAUUUCUAGCAAAUACCUGCCUUGGCAAAAGCUCUGCUGCUAACCCAUUUAACACAAAAGUUGUUAAAAUUGUGAACGUAGCAUUGUAAUGUUACAUCAUAGUUGAUUUGCUGUCCUCUAUUCUAAUGAAAUUUUCAGCACAGAAAGGCUUAUAAUGGAAAUAUUAUCCCUACGUUUGCAUUUGAAAGUUUACCUUAACGUUUCCAAAUUGGGAGUAAAUAUGAAACUUUGUAUUGUAUGGUCUUAUAACCAAAGGCCUUAUGACUUUCCAGCAUGACUAUUGACUUGAGGUUCCGAAAUGGCAGAAGAAAACCUCAGCUCUAACUUUAGACCAAUGAUCUUCACUGGAAAGAAAACUAUGAAAGUUGCUGCUAAGGAUAUCUGA